Molecule: long non-coding RNA, 475 nt
Organism: Salvia splendens (bonfire salvia)
Lineage: Eukaryota; Viridiplantae; Streptophyta; Magnoliopsida; Lamiales; Lamiaceae
Exons: 2
Source: RefSeq, a predicted model, not a curated record
UGUGCCGGAAAUCCUGGGAGCCUUCUUCUGGACUGUACCAGCUCUGUUCAGCCAUGUAAGCUUCCAACAAUAUUUGUAAGUUUAAAACUUAACACCUUCUUAACCCACCUCUCAUCUAACUUUUAGUUUCUCCCAUACUUUUAUGUGGUGUUCCUUACAAUUCUUCUUUUUGACCGAGCUAAGAGAGACGAUUACAAAUGCAAAGCAAAGUAAGCACAUAUCAUCAUCUUCACAUAUAGAUGUCAUAUCUGAUCCAUUAAUAGAAGCAUGUCUCUGUGAAUCUCAUCAUAGCACAACUCCCACAUUGCAGUAGACUGGGAAUGGAAAAAUUUUCUGUAUUGCGAAAAGGUCCCUAGCAGGAUUGUACCUGGAAUUUACUAGUAGUAAUCUGUGGAUCCUUUAAUAUUUUGACAUUGUUGAGGAUUCACUUGCAAUUGAUCUAUCAAAUAAAUGCUGCUUCUAUUUUUGUUGUAAA